RNAcentral lists this ribosomal RNA (790 nucleotides) under uncultured bacterium. RNAcentral's name for it is "bacterial SSU rRNA". It matches the Rfam family "Bacterial small subunit ribosomal RNA", at positions 8 to 796 of the family's 1533-position model. The record is from RNAcentral.
AGAGUUUGAUCAUGGCUCAGGAUGAACGCUAGCGGCAGGCUUAAUACAUGCAAGUCGAACGGUAAGGUCUCUUCGGAGAUACACGAGUGGCGCACGGGUGCGUAACGCGUAUNNAACCUACCUUUAACUGGGAAAUAGCCCCGAGAAAUCGGGAUUAAUGUCCCAUACUAUUCUGAGAAUGCAUAUUCUUAGAAUGAAAGCUCCGGCGGUUAUUGAUGGGCAUGCGUGACAUUAGCUAGUUGGUGAGGUAACGGCCCACCAAGGCUACGAUGUCUAGGGGUCCUGAGAGGGUUAACCCCCACACUGGUACUGAGACACGGACCAGACUCCUACGGGAGGCAGCAGUAAGGAAUAUUGGGCAAUGGACGCAAGUCUGACCCAGCCAUGCCGCGUGAAGGAUGAAUGUCCUAUGGAUUGUAAACUUCUUUUAUGCAGGAAAAACAUCCCGGUCGUGAACCGGGACUGAUGGUACUGUAUGAAUAAGCAUCGGCUAACUCCGUGCCAGCAGCCGCGGUAAUACGGAGGAUGCAAGCGUUAUCCGGAUUCAUUGGGUUUAAAGGGUGCGCAGGCGGAAUAAUAAGUCAGUGGUGAAAUCUCCCGGCUCAACCGGGAAACUGCCAUUGAUACUGUUAUUCUUGAGUACAGUUGAAGUGGGCGGAAUGUGUCAUGUAGCGGUGAAAUGCUUAGAUAUGACACAGAACACUGAUAGCGAAGGCAGCUCACUAAGCUGUAACUGACGCUCAUGCACGAAAGCGUGGGGAUCAAACAGGAUUAGAUACCCUAGUAGUCC